RNAcentral lists this ribosomal RNA (483 nucleotides) under uncultured Sulfurihydrogenibium sp. RNAcentral describes it as "bacterial SSU rRNA". It matches the Rfam family "Bacterial small subunit ribosomal RNA", at positions 29 to 530 of the family's 1533-position model. Lineage: Bacteria; Pseudomonadati; Aquificota; Aquificia; Aquificales; Hydrogenothermaceae. The record is from RNAcentral.
CGCGAACGUUGGCGGCGUGCCUAACACAUGCAAGUCGUGGGGCAGCAGGCUACUACCUUCGGGUAGUAGUGCUGGCGACCGGCAAACGGGUGAGUAACACGUAGCUUACCUACCCAUAGGUUGGGGAUAACAUUCCGAAAGGGGUGCUAAUACCCAAUAAUGAGGAGACUCCAAAGCCCUUAUGGGUGCCUAUGGAUGGGGCUGCGUCCCAUCAGCUAGUUGGUGAGGUAAUGGCUCACCAAGGCUACGACGGGUAACCGGUCUGAGAGGAUGACCGGUCACAGUGGGACUGAGACACGGCCCGCACCCCUACGGGGGGCAGCAGUGGGGAAUAUUGGGCAAUGGCCGAAAGGCUGACCCAGCAACGCCGCGUGGUGGAUGAAGCCCUUCGGGGUGUAAACACCUUUUCUGGGGGAAGAUAAUGACGGUACCCCAGGAAUAAGGGACGGCUAACUACGUGCCAGCAGCCGCGGUAAUACGUAG